This 213-nucleotide small nuclear RNA is filed under the name Catagonus wagneri (Chacoan peccary). RNAcentral describes it as "U1 spliceosomal RNA (ENSCWAG00000000027.1)". It matches the Rfam family "U1 spliceosomal RNA". From Rfam's summary of the family: U1 is a small nuclear RNA (snRNA) component of the spliceosome (involved in pre-mRNA splicing). Lineage: Eukaryota; Metazoa; Chordata; Mammalia; Artiodactyla; Tayassuidae. The record is from Rfam by way of RNAcentral.
CUAAUUACCUGACGGGGGAAAUACUACGAUCACGGAAGUGUUUCUCCAGGGCGAGGUCGACUCAUUGCACUGCGGCCGCCCGUGCUGACCUCUGCGAUUUCUUUUCCGCUAACGGCCGCCCGUGCUGACCUCUGCGAUUUCUUUUCGGCAAACUGCGGGAAACUCGACUGCCUAAUUUGUGCUGGUGGGGGACAGCGUUCGUGCUCUCCCCUG